AUUGCUUCUCGGCCUUUUGGCUAAGAUCAAGUGUAGGAAUUCAGUCAUCAGUUCCUGAAACACUACUUUAAAAAGAGAGUAAAAUUCUGGGUGUUUUAAAAAUUACUUCCCAAAUAGAUUACUUCUUACAGGCAAAUGUAUUUAUCUUUC
Oryctolagus cuniculus (rabbit) is the source of this 150-nucleotide small nuclear RNA. Its record names the gene U2. It matches the Rfam family "U2 spliceosomal RNA". Rfam says of the family: U2 is a small nuclear RNA (snRNA) component of the spliceosome (involved in pre-mRNA splicing). NCBI's taxonomy places the organism in Eukaryota, Metazoa, Chordata, Mammalia, Lagomorpha, Leporidae. The record is from Ensembl.